This 248-nucleotide ribosomal RNA is filed under the name Enterobacter chengduensis. Its description in RNAcentral is "partial 23S ribosomal RNA". It matches the Rfam family "Bacterial large subunit ribosomal RNA", at positions 1119 to 1365 of the family's 2925-position model. The record is from RNAcentral. Lineage: Bacteria; Pseudomonadati; Pseudomonadota; Gammaproteobacteria; Enterobacterales; Enterobacteriaceae.
UCAUUUAAAGAAAGCGUAAUAGCUCACUGGUCGAGUCGGCCUGCGCGGAAGAUGUAACGGGGCUAAACCAUGCACCGAAGCUGCGGCAGCGACGCGUAUGCGUUGUUGGGUAGGGGAGCGUUCUGUAAGCCGUUGAAGGUGGCCUGUGAGGGUUGCUGGAGGUAUCAGAAGUGCGAAUGCUGACAUAAGUAACGAUAAAGCGGGUGAAAAGCCCGCUCGCCGGAAGACCAAGGGUUCCUGUCCAACGU